This 155-nucleotide small RNA is filed under the name Methylocella tundrae. RNAcentral describes it as "Alphaproteobacterial sRNA ar45". It matches the Rfam family "Alphaproteobacterial sRNA ar45". RNAcentral also lists the same sequence under 2 other names. Lineage: Bacteria; Pseudomonadati; Pseudomonadota; Alphaproteobacteria; Hyphomicrobiales; Beijerinckiaceae. The record is from Rfam by way of RNAcentral.
GCCCAUUUUCGCACGUGCCUGUGGUCGUGUGUCGGUUGGCGGGGAUCCGGACAAGAGGCCGGUUAACCGCCUGAAAAGGACCGACAGCCGGAGGCGAACCGGCGAACCCCGCCAAACGGGGGACGCGACUUAAAGCAACGACGGACCGGGCUUUU